Molecule: non-coding RNA, 95 nt
Organism: Tephrocybe sp. NHM501043
Lineage: Eukaryota; Fungi; Basidiomycota; Agaricomycetes; Agaricales; Lyophyllaceae
Source: the annotation of a GenBank genome assembly
GCUAAUGUGGCUUAAUAGUAGAGCAUUGCAUUCCUAUUCUUCAUAAAAAAAAAGUGGCUAGGUAAAGGUUAUGAGUUUGAGUCUCAUCAUUGGUU